GACGAACGCUGGCGGCGUGCUUAACACAUGCAAGUCGAACGGUGAUGCUCCAGCUUGCUGGCGUGGAUCAGUGGCGAACGGGUGAGUAACACGUGAGCAACCUGCCCCAGACUCUGGAAUAAGCGCUGGAAACGGCGUCUAAUACUGGAUACGAAACUGGCCCGCAUGGGCAUGGUUUGGAAAUUUUUUCGGUUUGGGAUGGGCUCGCGGCCUAUCAGCUUGUUGGUGAGGUAAUGGCUCACCAAGGCGACGACGGGUAGCCGGCCUGAGAGGGCGACCGGCCACACGGGGACUGAGACACGGCCCAGACUCCUACGGGAGGCAGCAGUGGGGAAUAUUGCACAAUGGGCGAAAGCCUGAUGCAGCGACGCCGCGUGAGGGAUGACGGCCUUCGGGUUGUAAACCUCUUUCAGCAGGGAAGAAGCGAAAGUGACGGUACCUGCAGAAGAAGCACCGGCUAACUACGUG
RNAcentral lists this ribosomal RNA (468 nucleotides) under uncultured bacterium. RNAcentral's name for it is "partial 16S ribosomal RNA". It matches the Rfam family "Bacterial small subunit ribosomal RNA", at positions 28 to 507 of the family's 1533-position model. The record is from RNAcentral.